This 75-nucleotide transfer RNA is filed under the name compost metagenome. RNAcentral describes it as "tRNA-Glu". It matches the Rfam family "tRNA". Rfam says of the family: Transfer RNA (tRNA) molecules are approximately 80 nucleotides in length. The record is from RNAcentral.
GGCCCCUUGGUCAAGCGGUUAAGACGCCACCCUCUCAAGGUGGAGUGAUGGGUUCGAUUCCCGUAGGGGUCACCA